This is a long non-coding RNA of Etheostoma cragini (Arkansas darter), 477 nucleotides long. RefSeq lists it as uncharacterized. NCBI's taxonomy places the organism in Eukaryota, Metazoa, Chordata, Actinopteri, Perciformes, Percidae. The transcript is spliced from 3 exons. The record is from RefSeq and is a predicted model, not a curated record.
AUUAUAGGAUCCAGUGUUGCUCGAUUCAGGAUGGAGCACAAAGGAGUGGCCUAGAUGUUACACUGCAAAAGCAAAAGUCAAUAAACAAACACCUGCUUCAACAAAUGUUCAAAGACAGUAUCUCACGCUUGCUUUCUUUCCUCUUUGAGAGUGUCUGUAUGCAAAGACACACAGAAGUGCUCGUAUUUGGAUCUUUAGAUCUGAAAGAAGCUGCCGUGAUACUUCCUACAGUUGUGUAGAUGGAACUGCCGUUCUCUGGCUUUGAGCUGACCUUCGUCAUCAUUGCCUUCGUCGUCUUCUCGCUCUUCAGCUUGGCUUCAGUCUGCAUCCAACCAGAAGCAACACAUCAAGAAAAAUGUGUCUAUGAAGCAGAGGGCUCACGAAAUCACAGAAAGCAGAGAGUGAUCACUAAGCAAGCCGGACAGAAACCGUAAAGUAAAUGUCAGAGAAUUCAAGCCUAAUCUGGUGUACUGCUGG